UGCACUGCCUAUACUCUGGACUUAUGGCCC
Molecule: non-coding RNA, 30 nt
Filed under: Homo sapiens (human)
Lineage: Eukaryota; Metazoa; Chordata; Mammalia; Primates; Hominidae
Source: RNAcentral